Molecule: unclassified non-coding RNA, 291 nt
Filed under: fungal sp.
Lineage: Eukaryota; Fungi
Description: partial internal transcribed spacer region
Rfam family: Eukaryotic small subunit ribosomal RNA (bases 1-46)
Source: RNAcentral
AAGUCGUAACAAGGUAUCCGUAGGUGAACCUGCGGAUGGAUCAUUAUCACGUAUCCACGUAUCAACCAUUGUGAACCGUUUUAUAUAGUAUUUUUGUUUUUUUUUUAGUUCCUGGAAGAUGUUUCGGCAUCAACUGAGAAUUAAUUAUAAAAAACAAUUAAUAUUAUAUUAUUUUUAUUAACAAUUUAAACCAUAACUUUAUAAUUUUUGACUUACUUAUUUUAUACUCUUCGGAGAUAAAAUUCAUUACGAAACAAAGAACAACUCUUAGCAACGGAUAUCUUGGUUCUC